GUUUCCGUAGUGUAGCGGUUAUCACGUCUGCUUCACACGCAGAAGGCCCCGUUGGUUCGAACCCGGGCGGAAACA
RNAcentral lists this transfer RNA (75 nucleotides) under Anopheles sinensis. Its description in RNAcentral is "tRNA tRNA-Val". It matches the Rfam family "tRNA". Rfam says of the family: Transfer RNA (tRNA) molecules are approximately 80 nucleotides in length. Their secondary structure includes four short double-helical elements and three loops (D, anti-codon, and T loops). Further hydrogen bonds mediate the characteristic L-shaped molecular structure. tRNAs have two regions of fundamental functional importance: the anti-codon, which is responsible for specific mRNA codon recognition, and the 3' end, to which the tRNAs corresponding amino acid is attached (by aminoacyl-tRNA synthetases). tRNAs cope with the degeneracy of the genetic code in two manners: having more than one tRNA (with a specific anti-codon) for a particular amino acid; and 'wobble' base-pairing, i.e. permitting non-standard base-pairing at the 3rd anti-codon position. Lineage: Eukaryota; Metazoa; Arthropoda; Insecta; Diptera; Culicidae. The record is from Rfam by way of RNAcentral.